RNAcentral lists this ribosomal RNA (460 nucleotides) under uncultured bacterium. Its description in RNAcentral is "partial 16S ribosomal RNA". It matches the Rfam family "Bacterial small subunit ribosomal RNA", at positions 338 to 795 of the family's 1533-position model. The record is from RNAcentral.
UCUACGGGAGGCAGCAGUGAGGAAUAUUGGUCAAUGGACGCAAGUCUGAACCAGCCAAGCCGCGUGAAGGAUGACGGCUCUAUGAGUUGUAAACCGCUUUUGUAAGAGGGUAAACGCAGAUACGCGUAUCUGUCUGCAAGUAUCGUACGAAUAAGGAUCGGCUAACUCCGUGCCAGCAGCCGCGGUAAUACGGAGGAUUCGAGCGUUAUCCGGAUUUAUUGGGUUUAAAGGGUGCGUAGGCGGUCGGAUAAGUUAGCGGUGAAAUCCCGAGGCUCAACUUCGGAAUUGCCUCUGAUACUGUUCGGCUAGAGAGUAGUUGCGGUAGGCGGAAUGUAUGGUGUAGCGGUGAAAUGCAUAGAGAUCAUACAGAACACCGAUUGCGAAGGCAGCUUACCAGGCUACUUCUGACGUUGAGGCACGAAAGCGUGGGGAGCGAACAGGAUUAGAUACCCUGGUAGUC